UGGGCCUACGGGAGGCAGCAGUGAGGAAUAUUGGUCAAUGGGCGCGAGCCUGAACCAGCCAAGUCGCGUGAGGGAAUAAGGCCCUAUGGGUCGUAAACCUCUUUUGUCAGGGAGCAAAGGCGUCCACGUGUGGACGAGAAGAGAGUACCUGAAGAAAAAGCAUCGGCUAACUCCGUGCCAGCAGCCGCGGUAAUACGGAGGAUGCGAGCGUUAUCCGGAUUUAUUGGGUUUAAAGGGAGCGUAGGCGGAGUGUCACGUCAGCGGUAAAAUUUUGGGGCUCAACCCCGUGGUGCCGUUGAAACUGG
Molecule: ribosomal RNA, 305 nt
Filed under: uncultured bacterium
Lineage: Bacteria
Description: bacterial SSU rRNA
Rfam family: Bacterial small subunit ribosomal RNA
Source: RNAcentral